GGUUGCAACAUCCCCGCGAGCUGGGUUCCGGCAUCGAAAAUGAGCCGAAACAGCGAGUUCGCUGCAACC
This 69-nucleotide small RNA is filed under the name unclassified sequences. RNAcentral describes it as "NAD+-I sequence". It matches the Rfam family "nadA riboswitch". The record is from Rfam by way of RNAcentral.